UAGGGAAUCUUCCGCAAUGGACGCAAGUCUGACGGAGCAACGCCGCGUGAGUGAAGAAGGAUUUCGGUUCGUAAAACUCUGUUGUUAGAGAAGAACAGCGCAUAGAGCAACUGUUAUGCGUGUGACGGUAUCUAACCAGAAAGCCACGGCUAACUACGUGCCAGCAGCCGCGGUAAUACGUAGGUGGCAAGCGUUGUCCGGAUUUAUUGGGCGUAAAGCGAGCGCAGGCGGUCAAUUAAGUCUGAUGUGAAAGCCCCCGGCUCAACCGGGGAGGGUCAUUGGAAACUGGUUGACUUGAGUGCAGAAGAGGAGAGUGGAAUUCCAUGUGUAGCGGUGAGAUGCGUAGAUAUAUGGAGGAACACCAGUGGCGAAGGCGACUCUCUGGUCUGUAACUGACGCUGAGGCUCGAAAGCGUGGGUAGCAAACAGG
Molecule: ribosomal RNA, 429 nt
Filed under: Bacteroidota bacterium
Lineage: Bacteria; Pseudomonadati; Bacteroidota
Description: Bacteroidetes bacterium partial 16S ribosomal RNA
Rfam family: Bacterial small subunit ribosomal RNA
Source: RNAcentral